GCUGGCGGCGUGCCUAACACAUGCAAGUCGAGCGAGAAAAGGGUAGCAAUACCUGAGUACAGCGGCGCACGGGUGAGUAACACGUGGGUAAUCUGCCCUGGAGUGGGGAAUAACACCGGGAAACCGGUGCUAAUACCGCAUACGAUCACGAUGUCUGCGGAUGUUGUGAUGAAAGGAGCAAUUCGCUCCAGGAGGAGCCCGCGGCUGAUUAGCUAGUUGGUGAGGUAAUGGCUCACCAAGGCUACGAUCAGUAUCCGGUCUGAGAGGACGGUCGGACACACUGGAACUGAGACACGGUCCAGACUCCUACGGGAGGCAGCAGUGGGGAAUUUUUGGCAAUGGGGGAAACCCUGACCAAGCAACGCCGCGUGGGUGAUGAAGUCUCUUGGGACGUAAAACCCUUUCGACGGGGAAGAAACCGCAAGGUUGACGGUACCCGUA
Molecule: ribosomal RNA, 441 nt
Filed under: uncultured bacterium
Lineage: Bacteria
Description: bacterial SSU rRNA
Rfam family: Bacterial small subunit ribosomal RNA
Source: RNAcentral